CACGAGGGGUGCAAGCGUUGUUCGGAAUCACUGGGCGUAAAGGGUUCGUAGGCGGAUUGGAAAGUCAGAUGUUUAAAACCGGGGCCUAACCCCGGCUAGGUGUUUGAAACUUCCAAUCUUGAAUAGGUCAGAGGUAAGUGGAAUUCUUAGUGUAGCGGUGGAAUGCGUAGAGAUUAAGAAGAACACCAAUUGCGAAGGCAGCUUACUGGGACCAUAUUGACGCUGAUGGACGAAAGUGUGGGUAGCGAACAGG
Molecule: ribosomal RNA, 253 nt
Filed under: uncultured bacterium
Lineage: Bacteria
Description: partial 16S ribosomal RNA
Rfam family: Bacterial small subunit ribosomal RNA
Source: RNAcentral